CUCAGUCGCAGCUCGUCCCCUUAACGCAUCCUGGAUAUCCGUGGGUCCAAGCCAUAUGGCUCCACCCGCUGGAGCUACUCCUGGACCUCGACGUGCUGCUCUCCGGGGGCCCCGGGAAGGUAGCAGCCCUCACGAUGGUUUGCAGAGCGGCUCCUCGACUGGCUGCGGUGGCUCUGGCCACGGUGGCCGGGGCGCCCCAGAGUCCAGCAGAGUCUUUAAGGCAGGAAAUCUGAGCGCAGCGCGGCUGACUGCAGCAAACCGAGCCGGGACGUGGGUUAAAAUACUCCUGGAAAGUCGUUUCUCAGUUUGGGAAGCGUCCGCGGGGCGGGAAUGACCUACUCCAGGUGGCCUACGAUGCUUGAGGAGCUUGCGUGCAUUCCUUCCCAGGGCAGGGAUUCGUGGAGCGCGGCUCCGGCCUGGGGACCGGGACACCCCGUGAACAGCCAGAGAAAUUCGUGUUGCCUUCGCAGGACUCGGGGACGGUGAGCUGCGUAAAUAAUGCAGAUUCCAUCGGGGGCCGCGUGAAUGGGAAGACAAAGACAACCGUGGGGCUGCUCUGCUGACCCUUCAGGCACCUGCACCCCGAGUCUCUGCCCCCCCACCUGCGGACACGGGGUGGGGGUCCGCGGGAUGGCACGUGUUGGCCGGCGCCUGGCACACGGCCCAGCUCAUACUCCGCCGCACCCGGUUAUCGCCCACCCGUUUUCGUCCCUGCCGCGGUUGUGGCGCACACACACUGAGCGCGUUUUACCCCAAACGAUGGCAAAAUACCACAGUGCGGUGUUUUCCCAGCAGAGGGGAGGAGGGUGCCGCUCCACCAAUGUUUGUGUUUCCUGCAUCCGUCGGCAGCAUCCGGCCGCCCACCCUCCGCACAUCCCACCUUUCAACGUUGACCAUGGAGCGGGGACCCCUGCGUCCUUCCAAACUCCGGGUGGAGGUGGUGCGUCCCGGGCUGCGCGGAGGACGGGGAGUCUCCCCAACUUUCUGAGGACGCUGACCCACGUGCACCCCGAGGACAGGGAGAAACUCGAGCGGUUUCUGUUGAGAGUGGGGCCUCCGACGGGGUUGUUGGGAAAACCUCGGUUAGGCACAACGAGGAAGCACCGCAUGCCGUGAUGGAGGCAGCCUUCGUGUGUCGUCCAAAGCUUAGAAUAUCUCGGACCCUCUGUCCCCUUCUGUCCACCAGCGGAGGCCCCUGUCCCCGGGGUGGAGCCACGCGAUGGGUCAUGGCCUUGGCGAGUAGACCCUGCACUGCGCCUGAGGCACUCUUACCCCUGACCUCCCCUUAGGGUGGGCACCCCGAGGUCCCCAGGCUCGUCCUCAGGGAGCCCUGGGGUGGACACCUGGAGCUCACCC
Molecule: long non-coding RNA, 1356 nt
Filed under: Vulpes vulpes (red fox)
Lineage: Eukaryota; Metazoa; Chordata; Mammalia; Carnivora; Canidae
Description: lncRNA (ENSVVUG00000016022.1)
Source: RNAcentral